RNAcentral lists this long non-coding RNA (546 nucleotides) under Piliocolobus tephrosceles (Ugandan red Colobus). RNAcentral describes it as "lncRNA (ENSPTEG00000016395.1)". The record is from RNAcentral. Lineage: Eukaryota; Metazoa; Chordata; Mammalia; Primates; Cercopithecidae.
AUCAGCAAACAAAAAGGCUUUUUAUUUUUGAAAAAUAUUCAUACAAUUUAUCUGUGCUUUCUUGUUUUUUGUUUUGUUUUGUUAUAGCCUAAUGUUCUUUCCAUGAUGGAAGCUUAAAUACCAUGCGGACAAGUAGAGAAGAAACUUAGGCUUCAUCUUUUCCCUUUUCUCCUACAUAGAAUCAAUGAAGAAGUCUUGCUGAUUUAGCCCAUUGGGAGCAAAGUGAAAACUAAGAAUAGAACAAUAAAAGCCAAAAGGAAGUUAUACACAGACCUGUAUACAAAAAGGCUGGAUUUGAAUGACUGCUAGGUUGUUAAACAACUCACCAUUUCCAUGCCUGAUUUGAGUGGAUGACAGACUGCUUUAUAAGCAUCUGGGACAUCCAUGCUCCUGAACAGUGUUCGGUGUUACCCAGCCUUCCAAUUUUGACCUCUGCAGUGGUUCCUGGUGGGGACUUCCCAAAGUGGCCUCGGCUCCACAGAAUAUCUGCUAUUGCAUCAUUAACCAGACCAAUACUCCUGCCAAAGAUGGAAGAGCAUGGAGGGC